This 5740-nucleotide long non-coding RNA is filed under the name Sus scrofa (pig). Its description in RNAcentral is "lncRNA (ENSSSCG00060031038.1)". Lineage: Eukaryota; Metazoa; Chordata; Mammalia; Artiodactyla; Suidae. The record is from RNAcentral.
UUUUUUUUUUUUUUUCUGUGAAAUAGCUAAAAUUCCCAGGAUACCUAUUUGAAAAGCAAGCAUCAUUGUGUAAAAGCAGAAAACCCUCUUUGAUUCACUCAUGAUAAGAAUUUUUUCUAUAAAUUUUACUCUUCUUAAUUGGUAUUCUUUUGCAAAGUGACAGAGGAAAACAGAGACGGAGACGGAGACAGAGAGACAGAGUCAAGGUAUUUAUUCAUUGUUGAUGACUAAUUUUUUUAAAAAAAUAUUCUCUGCUAUUAAAUAUGAGGAGCAUUUGAAAAAAUAUAUAUUUCUAUUAAAGCAGAGAUCCUUAAGUUUGUAUCUUCAGUCAGUCCAGAGCUUCAUGGAAAUAUGAAAUCCAUGAGCUUAUAAAAAAUAUUACACAUUUGUUUUCAUCAGUCUUUUACUGAAAUUUAGCCUUUAUUAUUAUUAUUUUUUAAUUUAGAAGUGUGGAUAAAAAAUCACAGCAGUAUUUGAAGUACUUUGUUAUCCACAGAAAUCACACAUGAUUUUCUUUUCCUUUCCCAUUAGAGAUAUUGUAUACAUGUUUAAUUUUACAUUCAGCACUACUUCGUAAUCAUAAUUAUUAGAUUCCUUCCUGCUAAAACAUAUUAAUGCAUUUAAUAAUGAGGCACUCAUCUUAGCACACCAAUUUUAAGUCUUUUAUAACUUUAUUUCUGCAUAUCUGUGUUUCUUUUUGCUUGGAACAUUUUACUUUAAGGAUUUAAAAAUGUCCUGAGAAAGAAAUGGAAAGUGUCAUACAAUUUAAAAGAUCUCAUAAAUAAGUAAAUAAGUAAAUAAAUAAAUAAAUAUGAUCACCCAGGAAAAACUUUGAAAGUCUAAGGAAUCUAACUUAGAUUCUUGAUAUUCUUUUAAAAAGGUGUAGUGUAAAUUACAAUUUUUUGUAUAGUGAAUCCAAUCCAGUUCCGAAAGACUUUUCUCUCUCUCUCUCUCUUUUUUUUUUUUUUUUAAAUGCCCCAUCCAUAGCAUAUAGACGUUCCUGGGCCAGGGAUUGAAUCCAACUGCAGCAACACUGGAUCCUUUAACCCACUGCGCUAGGUUGGGGAUUGAAUCUGCUCCUCCAGAGCCACCAAGCCCCUGCAGACUUGCACUGGAAUUAACCCAUCGUGCCACAGCAGGAACUUGAAGAAAAACUUUUUAUUUGUUGUUAUUCAUUCCAUAAAUAUUCAUUAGGCAUCUGCCAAUUGUCUAGCAUGGUUCUAGUGUCUAGAAAAAAAUUAUGGUGAACAAAAUAGACACAGACUCUAUUGACUUUGCAAUUCUGAUUUUUGUAUUUUAGUAUAAGAAACAAAAAUACUAUAAUAAAGUUGGACUCACAUUAAUUGACUCCAACUCUUAUAAAGCUGCAAUAAUUAAGACACAUGGAAUUAUCAAAAAGACUAAAACUUAGAUUAAUGGAACAGAAUAAAGAUUCUAUAAAUAGGCCCAUCCAUACAGAGCCAACAAUUUUACAGAAGCAAUGCAAAUGGAGAAACAAUAUCUUUUCAACAGAGGGAGCUAAGACAAUUCGAUACCAUAUACAAUAAAAUAAAAUAAAUAUAAAACCAUUAAUCCAAAGUAGGUCAUAGACAAAUUUAAAUGGUGAAAGUUUAAAAUUUUUAAAAGAAAACAUAUGAUAUAAUCUUUGUGCAUUUGCAUGUAUAAUGAUAUCAUUGCAAUUUUAACUUGCAAUUUCCUAUGGCUAAUGUGACUGAACUUCCUUUUAUAACUCAUUUGCCAUUUAUAUGUCUUCUUUCAUCAAUUGUCUGUUCAAGACUUUUGUCCAUUUUAAACUGGAUCAUUUUGUAUCUUAUUAUAGAGUUUUGAGAAUAUUUGAUAUAUUUUGGAUAUAAGUCCAUGAUGAGAUUAGUGUUUUAUAAGUAUUUUUCCUCCAGUCAAUGAUCUGUCAUUUUAUUUUAUUUUAUUUAUUUUAUUUUAUUUUAUUUUAUUUUAUUNGCUUCCUGCGGCAUAUGGAGGUUCCCAGGCUAGGGGUCUAAUUGGAGCUAUAGCCGCUGGCCUACCAGAGCCACAGCAAUGCAGGAUCUGAGCCGCAUCUGUGACCUACACCAGAUCCCUAAACCACUGAACAAGGCCAGGGAUCGAACCUGCAACAUCAUGGUUCCUAGUCAGAUUCAUUAACCACUGUGCCAUGACAGGAUAUUUAUUCUCUUCAAAUUUGUUUUGCUUGUUCUAGUUCCAUUCCUUUUCUAGAUCAAAGUUAAAAUUAUUUUUUUUGAUUUCAAAAAACAAAGAAAAAAACAAAUGGAACAAACCUGUAUUUUUAUUGGAUUUGCAUUUAAUCUAUAGAACCGCUCUUUUAACAUUAUUGAAUCUUCCAAUCUAUAACAAGGUUUUACUUAGAUAUUCUUUGAUUUCUCUCAUCUGUAUUUUGUACUGUAUGAUUUCUAAAUAAGAGCACUAGGCAUGGAAAUAUUUGCUUUUUUCCUGAUCUUUGUAGGGAGGGAUUUAAUCUUUCAUUGUUAGAUGUAAUGUAAGUUGUAUGUUUGUGGUAGACUCUUUUGGCUUUUUAUUAAGUUAAUUCUGGUAUUAAAAAAAUUAAUUGAACAGUGGCUCCUUUGCUUUUAUUUUCUGGAGGGUUUUUUGGCAUUUAUAUUCCAUCUGGGCCUAGAGAUAACUUCGUUAGAGAUAAUGGUUAAUAAUUAUUCACAUUUUGUAAUAGAUUUAGGACUACUCAGUCACAUCUAUUUCUUCUUGAAUAUGCUUCUUGAAUAAUGUUUGCCUUUCCAUUAAUUUGCCAUUCCACCUUAGUUGUCAAAGUUAGGGCCAAACAAUUAUUCUAAUAGUCUAUUUUUAAUCCUUUAGAUGUCUUGAUGACCUGUAAUAAUGGCUUCUUUUAUACCUGAUAUUGGUAAUUUAUGUAUGUUCUUUUCUCUCGUUGGUUGGAUUAUAUGAUUAUUAAUUUCAUUGAUCUUUACAAAUAACUAAAUUUUGGUUUCAUUUUCUCUAUUUUUAUUUUCCUAUUUUUUUAUUUCUUCUUUUUUCUACAUUAUUUUAAUACUUCCACUUGAUUCAGAUUUAAUUUUUUCUUCUUAAAAUUUCUUAAAGUGGACAUAAAAAUCUUUAUUUAAAUUCUAACUAUGUGGCCUUAAUGAUAUAAACCUAAGUAUUGUCUUUCUGACCCAUGUAAUUUAACAAUGAAUUGUUCAAUUUAUAUUUUUUUUCAAGAAUUUUCAGAUCUUUCUGAUUUUAAUCUCAAGUUUAAUUCUGUUAUAAUUAGACUACUACUUGACAUUAUUUUAAUUAUUUUCAAAUUUUAGAAGCUUCUUAAUAUUUGGCCAAGAAUACAUCUACCUUGUUGAAACUGAUCUGUGCACCUAAAAUGAAUAUAUAUUUUGAUGUUUUCAGUGAGUGUUUAAUAAAUAUUCAUUAGGUCAAACUGGUUGAGAAUUUUGGUGGAUCUUCUGUAUUCUUACUAAUGUUUUUUCUACUUGUUCUAUCAAUUACUGAAGGAGAGGUAUUCAAGUCUUCAACUAUAAUUGCAUAUUUGUCCAUUUCUUUUUUUUUCCUUUUAAUGAUUUUUAUUUUUUCCAUGAUAGUUGGUUUACAGUGUUCUAUCAGUUUUCUACUGUGCAGCAAAUUGACUCAGUCACACAUACAUAUAUACAUUCUUUUUUCUCCCAUUAUCAUGCUUCAUCAUAAGUGACUAGAUAUAGUUCCCAGUUCUAUAGAGCAGGAUCUCAUUGCUUAUACAUUCCAAAGGCAAUAGUUUUCAUCUAUUAACCCAAAAUUUCCAGUCCAUCCCACUCCCUCCACCUCCACCUUGGCAAAAACAAGUCUGUUCUCCAUGUCCUUGAUUUUCUUUUCUGUGGAAAGGUUCAUUUGUGCCAUAUAUUAGAUUACAGAUAUAAGUGAUAUCAUACAGUAUUUGUCUUUCUCUUUCUGACUUACUUCACUUAGUAUGAGAGUCUCUAGUUACAUUCAUUUUGUUGCACAUGACAUUGUUUUGUUCUUUUUUGUGACUGAGAAUAUUCCAUUGUGUGUAUGUACCACAUCUUCUUAAUCCAUUCAUCUGUCAGUGGACAUUUAGGUUGUUCCCAUGUCUUGACUGUUGUGAAUAGUGAUGCAAUGAACAUGCCAGUGCAUGUGUCUUUUUCAAGGAAAGUUUUGUCCAGAUAUAUGUCCAAGAGUGGGAUUGCUGGGUCCUAUGGUAGUUCUAUGCAUAGUUUUCUAAGGUACCUCCAUGCUGUUUUCCAUGGUGGUUGUACCAAUGGUANUAGUCCCACCAACAGUGCAGGAGGGCUCCCUUUUCUCUACACCCUCUUCAGUAUUUGUUCUUUGUGGACUUUUUCAUGAUGACCAUUCUGACUGGUGUGAGAUGGUACCUCAUAGUAAUUUUGAUUUACAUUUAUCUAAUAGCCAGUGAUGUUGAGCAUUUUUUUUUUUUUCAUGUGCUUGUUGGCCAUCUGUAUAUCUUCCUUGGAGAAAUGUCUGUUCAGGUCUUUCACCCAUUUUUUCCAUUGGGUUGUUGGCUUUUUUUUGCUGUUGAGUUGUGUAAGUUGCUUGUAUAUUCUAGAGAUUAAGCCCUUGUCAGUUGCAUCAUUUGAAACUAUUUUCUCCCAUUCUGUAAGUUGUCUUUUUUUUAUGGUUUCCUUUGCUGUGCAAAAGCUUGUCAGUUUGAAUAGGUCCCAUUGGUUUAUUUUUGCUUUUAUUUCUGUUGCCUUGGGAGACUGAUGUGAGAAAACAUUCUUAAGAUUGAUGUCAGAGAAUGUCUUGCCUAUGUUCUCUUCUAGGAGUUUGAUGGUAUCUUAUGUUUAAGUUUUUAAGCCAUUUUGAGUUUAAUUUUUGUGCAUGGUGUGAGGGUUUGAGUUUCAUUGAUUUACAUGUGGCUGUCCAGUUUUCCCAGCACUAGCUGCUGAAAAGACUUUUUCCCAUUUUAUAUUCUUGCCUCCCUUUGUCGAAGAUUAAUUGACUAUAGGUGUCUGGAUAUAUUCCUGGGUUCUCUAUUCUGUUCCUUUGGUCUGUAUAUCUGUUUUGGUACCAGUACCACACUGUCUUUAUUAAUGCAGCUGAAUUUGAAUUCCAUGUAUGUUGACUAUAUAUUCUUGUCCCAUAGUGCUAUCUAUAGUAGUGUUUCUUUCCCCCCUAGUGUUUCCAUGUUAUCUUUUCUCUACCUCUGUCCAAAUUCUGCAUUUAUUUUCCACAUUCCACUAGGCAGUUUACCAUAUUAAUGAUCAUUGUUUCAUAUCAUCUCUCUGGGUCAUCUCAGUCUGGUCCUAUUGAAUGCUUUGUCUUUUGGUAUUAUUUUUCCCCUUAUUUCUUUCAUGAGUUUUAUAGCUUGUGAUUCAGUCUUUGAACUUUUCAUGCUGAACAGUGGAAGUUGAGUUACAGGCUUAAGAAAAGCUUUGCUUUUUUACUAUAUCUGGAUUUUUAUUGUUGUCUAAGUGGGGGUGAUGGUCUUCCCAGCUUUCCACAUCCUAGAAGAUGUUGAAUGAGAAAGCCAUUUUGAGCAUUGUAGUGACAGGUUCUGAUUUAUCUUUGUUAAAAGACAUCUUGUGCUGCUUUAUGGAAACUGUCAAGUAGAAACUCAAAAAAUAAGUCAGCAGUAUAUUGCAAUAGUUCAGACAAUGUUUCAGUUGUGGAAAGGUGUCAAAUUCAUGAUAUAAUUAAAAACUGAGAGUAUUUUCCCAUGAUUAAGAUUGAUUGUAUGAGAUUAGAGUAAAGAAAAUUCCCAGGCAAAUGUCCUGACUAAUUAGAUAGAUUGUGGUGACAUUUACUGAGA